Molecule: long non-coding RNA, 1204 nt
Organism: Lolium rigidum
Lineage: Eukaryota; Viridiplantae; Streptophyta; Magnoliopsida; Poales; Poaceae
Exons: 2
Source: RefSeq, a predicted model, not a curated record
CUAUAUGUGGACUCUUAUGUUGCUGGCGUUCCUUUCUUGCUACGCUGCUUCCAAAUUAUGUUCUUGAAGACGGUUCAGAGGUGAAUAAUACUCAAUACUUAGGUGCUUUGUUUUCCUGUGUUCAUGUCAUUCAGGUAAUCUAUUUGACUACUUUUUCAUCUUCCCUACUAUUACCAUGUACUUGCAGUUCCAUUCAGCAUGUACCGUUGGCACGGCAUCUCCUUGCUCCUUGUUGCUAUGUUCUUGUUGUUUCUAAUUCCUUUUGUUGUUAACUUGUAUGCUUUUCUUUUCUUCUGCCUGCUUGUGUGUCUUUCGUCAUGUGUUGUGAAGAGAAAGGGUGUACAACUGUGUCACCUCAUCGACUCCAGAGAUUCUUGUACAUUCACCUGACUAGCAGUUUGAUUGUGCCCGGUUUCAGGGAGUGAGCUGCCAGUGUGACCUUAUAAAGGAAGGUUCCAGGGAGUUAGCUGCCAAUGUGAACUCAUAAAAGAAAGAGUUAAUUUUAUUUUUUGCAGGAAAUAUUGUUUGAUCCUUCCAGUCGAUCCUGAGAAAUCCUGGAUCGACAUGCCGACGGUGUGGAUGCCCUAAAUGCGUUAGAGUGGUUCCCUCUAUGAGGGAGAGAGAGGUUGCUAAUCUUGGAUCUUGAUGAUUAGUCAGAAGUUCGGAUCGAUGAUCUUCUUGACGGAAAGGUUUGAGACUUCUACUAGAACUGCAACCUCUCUGGACUUUGCAUGACCCUGAGCCCUCCAAAUUCAGCGCUGUGGAGGUGGUCUGAGUGAUAUGUGUCACGCUCAUCUGCACCCAUGGAUUGCCUCACGGACGACCGGCCAAGUCGAGCGUGAUCUCAGUGCUCAAGGUCACGGGAGAUGCUAACAUGGCCAGGAAUGAGGACAUCAAGCACAGCAACACAACGGAGAGGCAGGUGAAAUGUUGGGAUUAUGGGAAUAAGCCGCCAAGUCAGCCCGUUGACACAUUAGUCUUCCCGUGUCCAUGCUGGGAUGGCGUAGUGAAGGGCAUGAACUGAUAUGUCAUCUAGCUUUUCAGCGUCAGGCAACACAAAGGCGAAUAAGACUGUGUUGUUGUCUACAUACUAUUUUUCUUUCCUCCUUGUUUUGGGGCUAAGCUUGCAUUGUACUUACGGCUGGUAUAUGUGAUACUCUUGAGGGGUCUGUUACUAUCGUGAGGCAACUAUAUUUGUUGUCAA